GGGGCUGUAACUCAAUUGGAAGAGUAUCUGUUUUGCACACAGAAGGUUAGGGGUUCGAGUCCCCUCAGUUCCA
RNAcentral lists this transfer RNA (73 nucleotides) under Alkalinema sp. CACIAM 70d. It matches the Rfam family "tRNA". Rfam says of the family: Transfer RNA (tRNA) molecules are approximately 80 nucleotides in length. Their secondary structure includes four short double-helical elements and three loops (D, anti-codon, and T loops). Further hydrogen bonds mediate the characteristic L-shaped molecular structure. tRNAs have two regions of fundamental functional importance: the anti-codon, which is responsible for specific mRNA codon recognition, and the 3' end, to which the tRNAs corresponding amino acid is attached (by aminoacyl-tRNA synthetases). tRNAs cope with the degeneracy of the genetic code in two manners: having more than one tRNA (with a specific anti-codon) for a particular amino acid; and 'wobble' base-pairing, i.e. permitting non-standard base-pairing at the 3rd anti-codon position. Lineage: Bacteria; Bacillati; Cyanobacteriota; Cyanophyceae; Leptolyngbyales; Leptolyngbyaceae. The record is from Rfam by way of RNAcentral. RNAcentral also lists the same sequence under 1 other name.